UGACGAGUUUGAUCCUGGCUCAGGAUGAACGCUAGCGGCAGGCUUAACACAUGCAAGUCGAGGGGUAUAGUUCUUCGGAGCUAGAGACCGGCGCACGGGUGCGUAACGCGUAUGCAAUCUACCUUUACAGAGGGAUAGCCCAGAGAAAUUUGGGUUAAUACCUCAUAGUAUUUUCGAAUCGCAUGAUUUGAUUAUUAAAGUUCCAACGGUAAAAGAUGAGUAUGCGUCCCAUUAGCUAGAUGGUAAGGUAACGGCUUACCAUGGCAACGAUGGGUAGUGGUCCUGAGAGGGAGAUCCCCCACACUGGUACUGAGACACGGACCAUACUCCUACGGGA
RNAcentral lists this ribosomal RNA (337 nucleotides) under uncultured Flavobacteriaceae bacterium. RNAcentral describes it as "bacterial SSU rRNA". It matches the Rfam family "Bacterial small subunit ribosomal RNA", at positions 1 to 346 of the family's 1533-position model. Lineage: Bacteria; Pseudomonadati; Bacteroidota; Flavobacteriia; Flavobacteriales; Flavobacteriaceae. The record is from RNAcentral.